Molecule: ribosomal RNA, 638 nt
Filed under: Burkholderia pseudomallei 1026a
Lineage: Bacteria; Pseudomonadati; Pseudomonadota; Betaproteobacteria; Burkholderiales; Burkholderiaceae
Description: bacterial SSU rRNA
Rfam family: Bacterial small subunit ribosomal RNA
Source: RNAcentral
UUGGACAAUGGGCGCAAGCCUGAUCCAGCAAUGCCGCGUGUGUGAAGAAGGCCUUCGGGUUGUAAAGCACUUUUGUCCGGAAAGAAAUCAUUCUGGCUAAUACCCGGAGUGGAUGACGGUACCGGAAGAAUAAGCACCGGCUAACUACGUGCCAGCAGCCGCGGUAAUACGUAGGGUGCGAGCGUUAAUCGGAAUUACUGGGCGUAAAGCGUGCGCAGGCGGUUUGCUAAGACCGAUGUGAAAUCCCCGGGCUCAACCUGGGAACUGCAUUGGUGACUGGCAGGCUAGAGUAUGGCAGAGGGGGGUAGAAUUCCACGUGUAGCAGUGAAAUGCGUAGAGAUGUGGAGGAAUACCGAUGGCGAAGGCAGCCCCCUGGGCCAAUACUGACGCUCAUGCACGAAAGCGUGGGGAGCAAACAGGAUUAGAUACCCUGGUAGUCCACGCCCUAAACGAUGUCAACUAGUUGUUGGGGAUUCAUUUCCUUAGUAACGUAGCUAACGCGUGAAGUUGACCGCCUGGGGAGUACGGUCGCAAGAUUAAAACUCAAAGGAAUUGACGGGGACCCGCACAAGCGGUGGAUGAUGUGGAUUAAUUCGAUGCAACGCGAAAAACCUUACCUACCCUUGACAUGGUCGGAA